RNAcentral lists this ribosomal RNA (407 nucleotides) under uncultured bacterium. RNAcentral describes it as "bacterial SSU rRNA". It matches the Rfam family "Bacterial small subunit ribosomal RNA", at positions 355 to 776 of the family's 1533-position model. RNAcentral also lists the same sequence under 2 other names. The record is from RNAcentral.
UGGGGAAUAUUGGGCAAUGGGGGAAACCCUGACCCAGCAACGCCGCGUGAAGGACGAAGGCCUUCGGGUUGUAAACUUCUUUGAUCAGGGACGAAAGCAAUGACGGUACCUGAAGAACAAGCCACGGCUAACUACGUGCCAGCAGCCGCGGUAAUACGUAGGUGGCGAGCGUUAUCCGGAUUUACUGGGUGUAAAGGGCGUGUAGGCGGGUUUGCAAGUCGGGUGUGAAAGAUUCGGGCUUAACCCGGAGAGGUCAUCCGAAACUGCAGAUCUUGAGUGCUGGAGAGGAUAGUGGAAUUCCUGGUGUAGCGGUAAAAUGCGUAGAGAUCAGGAGGAACACCAGUGGCGAAGGCGGCUAUCUGGACAGUAACUGACGCUGAGGCGCGAAAGCGUGGGGAGCAAACAGG